GAAGGCUUGGCUCAAUGGUAGAGCGUCCGCCUCCUAUCGUGGAGCAUCGCAAGCGGAAGGUUGUGGGUUCGAGUCCCAUGGUGGUCG
This is a non-coding RNA of Zasmidium cellare ATCC 36951, 87 nucleotides long. Lineage: Eukaryota; Fungi; Ascomycota; Dothideomycetes; Mycosphaerellales; Mycosphaerellaceae. The record is from the annotation of a RefSeq genome assembly.